GUGCAGCAGGCCACUAUUUGAAUGUGUGUUGCUCCUUGUGGCAGGUAUACUGUUCCAAUGCCCUGGGAUCUCUGUAGUGGUCGGUACUGUAUUGAUUAUAAAUGGUGAAGUCCUAGUAUCUUGCUAGAGUGAGCUGGCCAGGAUGGUGGAGCUCUACCACCAUUUCACAGGUUAUAGACAGGGGCCACCAGGUUUCAGGAAAGCAGCAAUGACCCCUCAGUAAUAGUUGGAAAGUGUGAUAUGACACUGAGCUUCACUGUGUUGGUGAAGAAGAGGUGAGGAAAAUAAAAGCUGCAGUUUGCCUCCACCUCUGAAGAAGCACAAUACACCUUUCUGGGUUACCAAUGGGAUACUUCCCAACAGCUUUGUCAUCACAUACAAUAUUCUCAAACAAGAUCUUAAUGGCAUCUACUUUCUCCAGGAACACAGCCCCUGACCUGUGUGUGUUUGCGUAGAGAAGGCAUGCUAUGUACCCCCUAGGAUAUCAAGAUUCCUGUAGCAGAUUGAGCUCUGGCAGUUGAUCUCAGUGGCUUGAUAGAGUGUCAUUAUAAAAACGCACCUGGAAGAUUCUGUGGAAAAGACAACCUCAGAAGACCAAGGAAUCUGCCCACCACUCAAGCCUGGGAAAGCUGGCAGAGGAUGCACGUGUUUUACUCACCUGAGUGUUUACAAUGCUCGUGAGGUGCCUCCCUGAUAUUUUUAUAGCAGAAUGGAGAAACACAACCAAGGAGAUACACCUAAGUAACAACAGCAAUGAUGUCAAAAAGAGUGCCUGAAUACUUAGGGUGGAGGUCCUGGACAUGCAAACCCAAGCUUCCUCUUUGCUGUGGCCAGGAAUCUGCAGUGAUUGAGAGCACAGACUGUAUCUAAAAUUCCACCUUUCAAAGUUCAGCAUAUUACUUUUUUUUUUCUUACACCUAUAAGUAAGAAACUUAAGCUCACUAUCCUUCAAUUUCCUCAUCCGUAUAAAGUGCAUAAUAAUUGUCCCUAUCCCAUA
This 997-nucleotide long non-coding RNA is filed under the name Homo sapiens (human). RNAcentral's name for it is "long intergenic non-protein coding RNA 616". Lineage: Eukaryota; Metazoa; Chordata; Mammalia; Primates; Hominidae. The record is from RNAcentral.